GAUUUCUGGUAGUGCGCGCCCGGGCGACGUGAGCAAUCGCGCCAGUCCCGGUGUUUCGUGCAUGCCAUCCUGUACGAUACCUUCACGUACUUAACUGUACGGGAAGUGUUCGUACUCAUUUACUUUGAAAAAAUUAGAGUGUUUAAAGCAGGCUUACGCUGUGAAUACAUUAGCAUGGAAUAAUAAUUUAGGACUUCGGUCUCUAUUUUGUUGGUUUCUAGAGCUGAAGUAAUGAUUGAUAGGGAUAGUUGGGGGUGCUAGUAUUCAUCGGCCAGAGGUGAAAUUCUUGGAUUCGAUGAAGACUAACUUAUGCGAAAGCAUU
RNAcentral lists this ribosomal RNA (322 nucleotides) under Nudifila sp. RNAcentral describes it as "SSU rRNA". The stretch from base 115 to 322 matches the Rfam family "Eukaryotic small subunit ribosomal RNA", at positions 747 to 955 of the family's 1831-position model. The record is from RNAcentral. Lineage: Eukaryota; Cercozoa; Imbricatea.